GCGAUCCCGAGCGUAGUAGCACUACACCUCGCUCCAGGGCGCCGCGGCGGGCGCCGGCCGUGAAAAACCCAUACUCUUUCAGGUUGACCUCGGAUCAGGUAGGAAUACCCGCUGAACUUAAGCAUAUCAAUAAGCGGAGGAAAAGAAACCAACAGGGAUUGCCCCAGUAACGGCGAGUGAAGCGGCAACAGCUCAAAUUUGAAAUCUGGCCUCGGCCCGAGUUGUAAUUUGCAGAGGAUGCUUUUGGCGCGGCGCCUUCUGAGUCCCCUGGAACGGGGCGCCAGAGAGGGUGAGAGCCCCGUCUAGUCGGACGCCCAGCCUGUGUAAAGCUCCUUCGACGAGUCGAGUAGUUUGGGAAUGCUGCUCAAAAUGGGAGGUAAAUUCCUUCUAAAGCUAAAUACCGGCCAGAGACCGAUAGCGCACAAGUAGAGUGAUCGAAAGAUGAAAAGCACUUUGAAAAGAGGGUCAAACAGCACGUGAAAUUGUUGAAAGGGAAGCGCUCGUGACCAGACUUGCGCCGGGCCGAUCAUCCGGCGUUCUCGCCGGUGCACUCGGCCCGGCACAGGCCAGCAUCGGUUCUCGCGGGGGGACAAAAGCUCGGGGAACGUGGCUCCUCCGGGAGUGUUAUAGCCCCCCGCACAAUACCCUCGCGGGGACCGAGGCCCGG
RNAcentral lists this ribosomal RNA (667 nucleotides) under Sordariomycetes sp. RNAcentral describes it as "eukaryotic LSU rRNA". The stretch from base 85 to 667 matches the Rfam family "Eukaryotic large subunit ribosomal RNA", at positions 1 to 596 of the family's 3401-position model. The record is from RNAcentral. Lineage: Eukaryota; Fungi; Ascomycota; Sordariomycetes.